Long non-coding RNA from Homalodisca vitripennis (glassy-winged sharpshooter), 5259 nucleotides. RefSeq lists it as uncharacterized. The transcript has 2 exons. Lineage: Eukaryota; Metazoa; Arthropoda; Insecta; Hemiptera; Cicadellidae. The record is from RefSeq and is a predicted model, not a curated record.
GCGGCGCAUAGAGUUAUUAGGCUCUAAACACGACAUAAAUCAGAAUAAACGCACUCGAAGCGUCGUGAAGAAAAAGCUCGCUAUCGCGAAAAAAUAGAUAACGCCGCGAGGAAGGUAGAGCUCGGCUGAAAUCUCGGCGUUCCCCAUUCAAGCGGGUCGUAAAAACCGCAAAACAAAGUGAACGAUAUACAAAAUUGUGGGAGAAAGCGGCGAGACAAGGAGAGAAGCGAGAUUCCAGCGAGAGAGAGAGAGAGAAGGGGGAUAAUUUAUCCGAAGGCCACGCCCCUUUUUCAUUGCGUCGCUUUUAAUAUCAAAACGCCCCUCCCUCCGACGCCAUAUCGGCGGCGUCUGCGUCGAGAUGCGAGCUCGCUGCUCACUCGACGCCCGUGGACCCGGCGCUCCGCUCCGUUCCUCAUCGCCUCGCGUCAUUUUAGUAGCCACUCGGUUUUUUUGCUGUUAAAACGAUCUUGAUUUCCCGCAGGCCGAUGACAUGUCAAUCGCCAGCUCACUCCAAGAUGGCCGAGGCUUCAAGUCAGUUGCGGCCGCUCCGCCGAGGCGACAGGUUUUUCGAGGGAGGCCCUAACAAGCAACCCUUCUGUCGCCGUAAAGCUGUCAGCUGCCCUUGUUAGGAGAGGAUUGCGCAGCCGGCUCUUUGUGGUUGGGCAACGUUGGGUCACCUGCCCUUCUCGGCCCUUGCCCUUCCACGAACUGGACACCUCGGACGGAAACCACCCCGAAGAAUUCCACGGAGUACUGUUGCCUAACGUUCCACCACUUCAAAAAGACACGUUUUUUAACAAUAGUAACUUGCAGUACUAUUCAUAAAAUUAUGUUCAUACCUUUAUUUGUUACAAAGGGAAUGUAUUAAGUUUGUGUUGAUUAGUAACAUCGUCAUUAGAUCGUACUGUAACAAUACUUAACAAUUAGUUACUGGGCAGUAUUUACAAGAUGAAUUUUGUUUCAGAUCUGUAAUACUUAAGUAAGAUUUUAGACUACAAUUGUGUUAUCUUGUCUAUAAAUCACCCGAUAACUAUCGAUAGCGUUAACGGUUGAUAUGUUGCAAUAAUAGUAAAACAUGUGUUGUUAUCAGAAGUAAUAAUCGAUAAGGCUAUGACCCUGUGACUCAGGGAUGGGUUGACAUCAAUUUCAUGCAAUUGACUCAGUUAAUGACUUUGUCUACGACUUAGAUAGUGGGAGCUCUGUCCAUCGCGGUACUAAGUCAGUCGCUAUAUAUCCGUCCGCGGCUACGAAGGCUCUCUCAAUCGUAAACUUUGUUUUUAACUCUGACGCACUCUUAUACAGUCCAUGUCUUUAUUGAGCUUUCUGUGACUCGCUGUGAAAUGUGUGACUUUUAAUAAAUUUUUGUGACUUAACGAUUACAUAAACUCGAUGUUUUGUUGACACCAUGCCACGCUGUGAGUAGAGCUCGCUAUACUGUACUUACAAUAAUUUUGUCCAUGAUGUAAUCUUACUACACUUGUCUCUAUUAUAAUAGCAUAUGUUAUAACACGUAUAGUAGAUUAAUAAUUGUUAUAUUUUUAGUAAAAAUAUAUUUGAAAUUUACAGUUAGAUAAUUUCAAAAUGCAUUGUAUUUCAUAUUUAUUUUAGCUUACAAGCUUUUCAAAUUGCUUUUUAUAAAUAAUUGCCGUUUUAAUAAAAAUACUAUACUGUACUAAAGGUUAUGAACAAUUGUAAAAAUAAUUCUUAGGGUUCUAUACAUAUGUAAGUAUUUUGACUCUAUUACUAAUACACUUGUGAAAAUUAAAUAGCCAUAGAUAUUUAUAAAGUGUAACUUAUAAGCGCCUUUGCGUCUUGAACCAAGAGGAUGAUGAAGACGGCGGAGCUAAACUGAAGAACGGCAACGUAGUAAAUUGUGGAACCCCCUGUACGUAUACUGAAUGUAUCCUGAGUGUUACUGUCAUCCGGUAUACCUUCAGUAUACGUAACAGGAGGACACACUGCAUCUGGGAAUCAUCUGGAAACAUUCUGGGAGUCUCUCCAGCACCCCGGAUGCUCUGCGUUGGGUUUGGCUGUCUUCACCACUUCUGGAAACCCUUAGAGUAUAAUUGUAUUGUAGUAAAUGUUUAGUUAUAUUUUGAAAAGUUUAAAAUAAUAAACGAGUAACAGUUAUUUUGUAACAGUUUAAUAACACUAAAUAGAAUAUAACCAUCGGUUAUUAAUAAUGUCCAAUACUUAAAACUGAUUUAUCAUUGCUGAGGUAAAAUACAUUUCAUUUGGUUAUUUGUGAUCAGUGAUUAAUAAAUUAACAUAUAUUUGAUACAAUAAAUAUAAGAUAUAUGUAUCACUGUUAGUUCUCAAUGCAAUACCAUGUAAAUUUUGACAUACGCCUUAGUAUCAAAUUAAUAGUUUAUUCAAUCUCAAAAUCAUAAAUUAAUUGAAAAACAGAUUUAAACAUUGUUAAAAUAAUAUAAAACUAAAAUAUAUGAAUCUUACAAUAUGUAAUGUAGCUUAAAUGUAUAAUAAAUACAAAAUUAAUGAAUAUAAAACAUACAAUUGAAUACACUUUAUCUUACAAUAUAAUAGAGUAUAUCAAAAUUAAUAGUAGGCCUACACAGUUCAUAUACAAUGUAAAGUAAAUAUUCCGUUUAUGAUUACUAUGUCUCUAGUUUAUAACAUACUAUUAGGGUAAUGCACUAAUGCGCAUGAAAAUAAUGACUGAUUAAAUAUUUACUACAGUUUUACUCGGUCUUUGUAAAAACUUUUAUAAGUUUGCUACUCGAAAAAGACCGUAUCGUAGAACAGCAAUUAAUUGUUUAAUUUAAUUUUACAUAAAGUACCAAUACUAAUAAAUAAAACAUAACAAGUUAUAUGGCAAUUACAAUGUAAAUUGUACAAUCGAAGUUUAAUGGAGAUAUUUCACAUAUUAUUGAGCAUUUAUAUACGGUGAAAUAUUAAUUUAUAAUUGGAAGAACUAAUUAUUAACUAAAUACAAAGAUGUUGAAAAUCCUACUAAAAUAUUCAACAACGGAUUAAGAGAUGUAGUGGCAUACUUUGUUAGACUUAAAGUACUAAUAUAACACAGCUGUUUACCACCAGUGUACGCCAAGCUCUCUCAAGACUGGGUGUCUAUUAAAUGGUUGUAUUUUGUUUUAUGAGCAAUGAAAACAUCGUAACUCCCUCGGCUGACCAAGUGUUUCAAUGCCCCGGGCUUGCAGACCAUCCAUCGUCCCGAGAUAGUCCCUUUAUUGUUAUAGACCCUCUUAAAAUCACUCUCAAUUUGUUAAAGCUACUUUAUGUUAGCAUAUGUCAUGUCCAGUUUUUCGAACGUUUCAAUCCGAACAAGCUCUUCUGUGCAGUGACAAGGAAGUAUGAAUUUUUUAUUUCACUAAACCAUGUUAUUCUUUAUUGUUGAUUGAUUUAUGUGAAAUCUUUUUUAUACGAUUUGGACAUAAUUUUUUUACAGUGAUAGUAUUAGUUUAUUUAUGUUUUUAGUAAUGUGUAAUAUAUCUAUACUACCUUGUUUACUUAAUACUUACAAUAAUUAUAUCAUGAUUUAGUUUAAAAUUAAAACUGGUGAUUUUAUAUGUAGCUUGGUUAAAAUAUCAAUAAAUUUUUGUUUAUUUUGGAAACAUUACAAUUUGUUUUUAUAUAUACCUUUCUUAUUAGUUACAUAAACACUAUCACAUUUUUAAAACCGUAAGGUAAUCAUUUAAUUCAAAUUUCGUCACAUUUUACUAUUGAAUAAUUUUAACUUUAUAAAUUGAAUUAGGAUGACUUGUAUAUUUCAUAAUAACUCAUGAUGAUAAAUGCAUAUGCAGUUUAUAAAAAUGUGGAGAAUUACUUGAAGGAAAUGAUUUAACAUGAAUUAAAGUAAAAUUUUACACGAAGACGUUUCAUUAAAUAGUUUUGAUUAGGAUUUUUAAUUUCAAAUAAUAUUGAUGUUUUAAGGGUUUUGAGUAUUUUGUAAAAAAUAGUAAUGAAACAUAUCUUUAUGAAUACAUUUGUACAUUAUUUUUCGUCAGUGUCAAAAAAUAGAAACUUUUUCUUUUUGUGAAUCACAAGGUGAGAGAAUAGUCUCAGAGCAGUUAUGAAUAGGAAUAAUUAAUACAUUUAGAAUAAGUAUUAAAAAAAUAGAGUGCAGAAUCGCACAGAAUUUGAAAAAGCUACCCACUGCUAGUGGGCAAAAUGAUAAAGUAACCAAUGCAUUUUACCUAAUGUAAGUGACAAAUAGAUUUUGUUUUUUUUUCACAGGGUAAGAAAGCCUCAUAAAUAUCAUAAAGUACAAGCAUCUCAUAGGAGAUUCUACAAAAACACGUGACUUGUUAUCACGUGUUGAACAACUCUCUAAGGUAGAUUAGUUUACUGAACUGUUUCUCGUAUAAAAAUAGAUAGAUACAUAACGGAUACGGUUCAAGACAAUGAAAGAAGAUGAGAUUUUAUGGUAACUAAACUGUUCUAUCAACGUUGUGACAGCGAAUAACUUUAAAGUUCUUAUCAAAAGACGAGUUUAUUCCCAUAAUUUUGUAAUGUAAAUAUUCAAUAUAAUGAAACAACUUAAAAUGGAAUGAUUUAUGUGAUGGUUCAUUUAUACAUUAAUUUAUUUUAUUAGAUAACUCAUAUAGUCGCGAUUAAAUGAAUAAUAGUUAUGAUUAUAUGCUCUUAAUUUCCUAGCACAAUUUAUAAAAUGGACGUAAUACGCCGAAUAAAAAAAAGAAAAGUAUUAAAAUUAGGGUUCCAGUAUAUUGUGACCGAUGAGCUUGACAAAAAUGUUCUGUAUAUACGAGAAAAAGUUAUAUAUAUGUAAAGAAAAGUUUAUGCAAUCUGUGAUGACUCAUUGUUAUUUAUUAUUUAUCUUAUUGAUAUGAUUUCACUUGAUCAUAUUACGGAAAGUUAAGAGCUUGUAUUGAAUAAUAUGUAUUCAUACCAUUAUUAUGGUAUAUAAUGUAAUGUGGUAGUUACAUUUUAUAUGUCCUAUUAGUAAUGUACUUAGGCUCAAAUAAAAAUUACUGUUGAUAAUGUUUGCUGUUUAAACAUUUAAUAACAUUUGAACAAAAAUUUGUUAGAUUGACUUUUCUGAAAUAGCUGUAGGCUAUUACUGGUUUUAUAUGUGUUUAGUUUAAUUUUCCUAAUACAUAAUUUUAAAAUAUGAAUUAGUAGAAAAUAAAUUAUUUGUAAGUGUUUGUACCAUACAUGUUUAGCAUAAAAACGACACACACUAGUCAAUAAUAAUGUAUUUUGUCACUACGUGAACAAUAAACGAGUAUGUGUGGGAAAUGGACACGUUCAUAUAUAUUUUAU